This 301-nucleotide ribosomal RNA is filed under the name uncultured bacterium. Its description in RNAcentral is "partial 16S ribosomal RNA". It matches the Rfam family "Bacterial small subunit ribosomal RNA", at positions 509 to 809 of the family's 1533-position model. The record is from RNAcentral.
CAGUCGCCACGGUAAUACGUAGGGCGCAAGCGUUAUCCGGAAUUAUUGGGCGUAAAGAGCUCGUAGGCGGUUUGUCGCGUCUGCCGUGAAAGUCCGGGGCUCAACCCCGGAUCUGCGGUGGGUACGGGCAGACUAGAGUGAUGUAGGGGAGACUGGAAUUCCUGGUGUAGCGGUGAAAUGCGCAGAUAUCAGGAGGAACACCGAUGGCGAAGGCAGGUCUCUGGGCAUUAACUGACGCUGAGGAGCGAAAGCAUGGGGAGCGAACAGGAUUAGAUACCCCUGUAGUCCCUGUCUCUUAUAA